RNAcentral lists this long non-coding RNA (3324 nucleotides) under Pan troglodytes (chimpanzee). Its description in RNAcentral is "lincRNA". Lineage: Eukaryota; Metazoa; Chordata; Mammalia; Primates; Hominidae. The record is from RNAcentral.
AACAGGAGAGGGAGCAAGCGCGAGAGGAUAUUAGAAGAGAGGCUUGUCUCCAAGAUAUGGAAGGAAGUGAGAAAUGACAGGGCUGCAAGCUUUGUAUGUAGGAGCCCGGCAGGGCGGGGGAGCGGCGAGGGAGCCAAGUGGAUUCUCAGAAAAGGGGGGAAGCCAUCGAAGAGCUAAAGGUGAUUAGAGGGGGAUAUUGAUUUCUCAUUCUGCCAGAGAUUUAAGCAGGCAUGCGAGGAAUCUGCACCAUGGUUGGCAAAAAGAGACCCGUUGCCUCCUGUAACCAGACACUCAGGCUUUCCAGGAGCCCAGGGAGCAAGCCGAGAAGAAAGGGGGCAGUGUGGUCUAGGAAAAUUCAACUUGUCGCUGAUUUGUGCCUGAUGCCUGCUGUCCGUCAGCAGCCUCCCUUACAAUCUUUUUUUCUCUCUCUCCUUUUUUUUCCCCUUGCCUUCUCCUUCUUCACUGAAGCCUAGGGGAGCCAGUAAAGAUUAAAUGUGCUUCUCAAAGGCAGCCACUUCAUGCUGCUAUGUCGAAAGGGCCAUUAUUAUUAUUAUAUUUUAAUAGUAAAAGAGAAAAGGAGAGAGGUUGAGCGAGCGAGAGAGAAGCUAGGUGUGAUGAUGACAGACUAGCUUUUCUGAGAGGAAAAGGAAAAGGGAAGGGAGAGAAAAAGGAGAGCCUCUGAGCUCAACGGAGGAUUGUGCCUGAGAAGAACCCACAGAGCUGGUCCUAUAGUACCCCUCCUCAGGAAUGUCUCCCCAGUGCAAGGACAAAGACUGAAGAGACUGCUAUAUUGAUGGACUCUCAAGCCAACUAUGAAGUUGAAACAAAGAAAGUGAUCACCUGAAGACACCUCCUCUGCUAAGAAACACCCCCAAAUUGUGCAGCUUCUGCCACUAGAACUCUCAGAACAAGAGACAAUCUUUUCAAGAAACAGAAAAACUCAAUAAUGACAUCUAGAUUUUCAUGAGCCAAGAACUUUCCUUUCCUCAUGUGUAUUCCUCUGUUUGUACUUAAAUUCAUGUGACAUUCAUUUUUUUCCUAGUAUGGAUAUGCUUAUUAAUGCACUUGUUUCAAAAUCCCAAAUUGCACAAAUGUGUUAAUAUUUUAAGAAACAAAAUGAAUCCUACAAGGAGAAUGAUGUUUAGCCACACAUAGGGUUGGAUCUUAAGAGUGACCUACAGAAUAAAAGUACUUUUAAAAUAAAGUAGUCAGAGGCUAUUCAAAGGGUAAAAUAAUCAUAGUACCACAUUGGUCCACUUGACACUAACCAAUCGAUCAUUUUUUUUAAAUCAAGAAAGCUAGAUUCUAUCAGAUAAAAUCACUGCUUCUAAAGAGUUUAAAUCUAGUUAGAAAAAGUUAUAGAAAUGUUUUCAAAGAUAAGUAACAGAUAGAGUCAGUAGAGGAUAAGAUCAAAAACAAAACCAAGCAAAAGAUGAGUUCAGGGGAGUUUGCCAUCAAGUUGGCAAAACUGACUUACUUAGGGAAGAAAGUUAUAAAAGAGGAAAAUAUGAGAUGAACCUUGAGUGAUGUCAAAGAUUUAGAUAAAUGGAAAGGAAGGAGAAAAUGGAGUUCUUUAGGUGGUUGUAAUUGGAGGAGGAAAUGAAUACACACAUCUUGUUGACUUAAACCCAGACAUUCAGCAGCUCUCUAUACAUAUCUGGAAAAGACUUUGCACAGUCACCUCCUGUCUCUCACCCCAGGUAUUACUUAGAAUUAUUAUCAUAUUUCCCUUCCUUUAAAGUAAGUAAGGGUGAUUGGUGACAAUAUGGAGAACUAUGAUUUUUCCAUUAACCUAAUAAUAAUUGGUAUUUAUUGAGUUCUGUUAAGCAUGUUACAUAUUAACUCACUUAAGCCUUUCAACAGCCUUGCAAAAUAGGUAUUAUUAUUCCCAUUGUACAGGCAAGAAAACUGAGGUUUAAGUAACUUGCCGAAGUGCCAUUUACAGGGCUCACCUUCAGUAUUGCAGUUGCAAAGCUCAUGAUCUAUAGUGCCAAGUUGCAAUAUUGUAGUCAAUGUCACAAUUAUUACCCCUUUUUAUAUUCCUUGAUAUUUUUCCAUGGCAAACAAUUAGCUAUUUUAUUUAAUAAUCACCUAAAACUUUUCAGUCUUCUGAUUAAAAUUACACUGGAGUGAUAGAAUGUAUUUUCAUGAUAGAAACUGGGAAAAAAAUGGGGAAUGAAGUUUAUCAGCAUUUCAGACUUUUUUUUUUUUUUUGCAAGACUUUGAUGAGAUUGUUCACUUUUGUCUACGUAAAAUCCCAAAUCCUUGAGAAUAAAAAAGGGGGAGGUUUAAGUCACUUGUUGCAAUGCCCUUUUUAAUAGAGGCAAUAAAUCUAAAGGCCAUAAAUUUAGAGUGACUUACAGAAGAUCGAACUUUGGAGUGUGGCAGAGUAAGGGCUGGAAACCAGGCCCUCCAGUUCACUAUCAGUAGCUCUUGCACUGGUCUGCCCUUCCUAAAUUAAGUAUGCACUUCAAUUUGAUGAGUGGAAACAGUCUAUCUGGGCAGUAACCAGGGAGCUUUGUGCCUAGUAGAUUGCUUCUGUUCUGCACUUCUUUGGUUUCCCACCUCAAUGUAAAAAAUAGCUAGCAAUGAAGUCCAGAAGUUGUCAAUGGUUCAUCCCCAGAAGAAUGCAUAAUGUCCAAAGUGGUAUGUGUAUGAUGUCUUCAAUGGUAUUAAGUUAUUUCAAAUUCUUAGUUCACCUACAUAAAUCAUUUCUAACAAGCAUCUUCUUAACCAACUUUAUGCAUAGUGUAUGUUUGUAAGUGCUUCUGCACGAAUGUUUAUACAUGACUGUUUCCAUAGUACUUAUGUUUUUAAAAAUAUUCAGUCAUUUCCUAUUAUAAUCCUCAUGUAUCCAUGUAACUGACUCAAAAAUACUUCAGCCAUAGAAAGCUAAAACUGAGCAAAUCUCAUUCUCUUUUCCAUCCCCUUUGCAUGUGGCUGGCAUUUAGUAAUGAUUAAUAAUAUGGCCAGCUGAAUAACAGAGAUUCGAGACACAAUUCUUUCUCAAAGGAGUCAGCUAAGCUGGGUCUACUUAUGGACAAACAUCUAAAUGUGUGGAAGUAUCUGAUAUUUGACAACGGUAAAUUUCCACUUAGCUAGCUAGCAUUGUCAGACUUCAAUCUCCUCAUGGCUCUGGCCGUCCUGUUUUCAGCAUGAUAAUUGUUGGCCACAUCUCACAUAGUUCUCAUUGAGUGAGUUCAUAAAUAAACAGGGUUUUUUUUUUUUAAGAGCAGCCAAGCACAAAGUGUGACUUUGUUGACAUUUUAUGUGACUUUGUCAUAUGUUCCUAACCCCCAAUAAAAGCAAUGCUGCAUCAACUGU